AUACAUAUUCUAUACACUCCAUCUUAUGGUUAGUUUUCCUUUUUAAU
This 47-nucleotide small RNA is filed under the name Arabidopsis thaliana (thale cress). Its description in RNAcentral is "ATSL168680". The record is from RNAcentral. Lineage: Eukaryota; Viridiplantae; Streptophyta; Magnoliopsida; Brassicales; Brassicaceae.